This 434-nucleotide ribosomal RNA is filed under the name uncultured bacterium. RNAcentral describes it as "partial 16S ribosomal RNA". It matches the Rfam family "Bacterial small subunit ribosomal RNA", at positions 29 to 507 of the family's 1533-position model. The record is from RNAcentral.
AGCGAACGCUGGCGGCAGGCCUAACACAUGCAAGUCGAACGAACCUUUCGGGGUUAGUGGCGGACGGGUGAGUAACACGUGGGAACGUGCCUUUAGGUUCGGAAUAAUUCAGGGAAACUUGUGCUAAUACCGAAUGUGCCCUUCGGGGGAAAGAUUAAUCGCCUUUAGAGCGGCCCGCGUCUGUUUAGCUAGUUGGUUGAGGUAAUGGCUCACCAAGGCGACGAUCAGUAGCUGGUCUGAGAGGAUGAUCAGCCACAUUGGGACUGAGACACGGCCCAAACUCCUACGGGAGGCAGCAGUGGGGAAUCUUGCGCAAGGGGCGAAAGCCUGACGCAGCCAUGCCGCGUGAAUGAUGAAGGUCUUAGGAUUGUAAAAUUCUUUCACCGGGGACGAUAAUGACGGUACCCGGAGAAGAAGCCCCGGCUAACUUCGUG